This is a long non-coding RNA of Oreochromis niloticus (Nile tilapia), 490 nucleotides long. RefSeq lists it as uncharacterized. Lineage: Eukaryota; Metazoa; Chordata; Actinopteri; Cichliformes; Cichlidae. The transcript is spliced from 3 exons. The record is from RefSeq and is a predicted model, not a curated record.
GUGUGCUGCUGCUGUCUGCACUGACUGUUUCUGCAGUCCUUGCCUGCCUGCCUCCAUUUUCUCCGAAUCGAGCAUUCCUCAACUUAAUGAUCAUCAUUCCGUAUUUCAUCUCCACCUUCCUGAUGGUGUCGAUUCAUGAAAGAAUCCAGAGAGAGCGCUCACUGGCCAUUUGCAUGGAAAUGGCGAUGCUUGAAAGUGCUCAGGGAUCUGAUGAAGGCUAUGAGGACAUUGAUGCUGACAUCACCACUGAGCAUGUUUUCUGACCUACAGAGACUGCUGACAGCCACUGAGAGCAAAUCAUCCAAAGGGGUAGAGGGGACCCUAACCAUGACCCGCCACCAGUGAAAUGAUGGUUAUAAAAGAUUACUCAGGAUCAUGUAUUUAUUUUUGUCUUUUAAAACGUAACCCUUCAGCCCUUCAGUUUCUGACUUGUUGAACACAAUUAAAACCAGGAUAUUUGGAUAAACCCAUCUCACAGAUGGUCAAUAAA